Molecule: non-coding RNA, 62 nt
Organism: Paraburkholderia caribensis
Lineage: Bacteria; Pseudomonadati; Pseudomonadota; Betaproteobacteria; Burkholderiales; Burkholderiaceae
Source: Rfam
UGUCUCCUCCACCCUCCUCCAAAGGUGGAUUAAGCCCGAACCGCUAGUUCGGGCUUUUUUUC